RNAcentral lists this long non-coding RNA (306 nucleotides) under Nicotiana benthamiana. Its description in RNAcentral is "long non-coding RNA (NBEN_LNC004733)". Lineage: Eukaryota; Viridiplantae; Streptophyta; Magnoliopsida; Solanales; Solanaceae. The record is from RNAcentral.
UCUAAGACUCAAAUAUUUCUAUUAUCAUCUUGGAUCCACAAUUAAUCCUACGGGUCCUUAGGAUUGGUAUAUUCUUUUCUAUCCUGUAGUUUGUAGUUUCCCUGAAUCAAGCCAAGUAUCACACCUCUUUCUACACAUCCUGUAUAUUGUCCCCUUUGUUCCGUGUUGAAAUAGAACCUUAAUUUAUUACUUAUUUUUUUAUUAGAUUUUUGAUUUGUUAGUGAAUAGAUAUUAGUAUUAGACGAGAUUUUACGAAACAAUUAUUUUUUUAUUUCUUUAUAGGAGAGGACAAAUCUUUUUUUUUUC